GUGAAUCAUCGAAUCUUUGAACGCACAUUGCGCCCGCCAGUAUUCUGGCGGGCAUGCCUGUCUGAGCGUCAUUUCAACCCUCAAGCAACUUCUGCUUGGUGUUGGGGAUCGGCCGUUAAACGCCGCCCCCGAAAUCUAUUGGCGAUCUCGCUGUAGCUUCCUAUGCGUAGUAGUAACAUCUCGCAUCUGGAGAGCGGCGCGGUCAUGCCGUAAAACACCCAACUUCUCAGGUUGACCUCAGAUCAGGUAGGAAUACCCGCUGAACUUAAGCAUAUCAAUAAGCGGAGGA
Molecule: unclassified non-coding RNA, 289 nt
Filed under: Hypocreales sp.
Lineage: Eukaryota; Fungi; Ascomycota; Sordariomycetes; Hypocreales
Description: partial contains 5.8S ribosomal RNA, internal transcribed spacer 2, and large subunit ribosomal RNA
Rfam family: 5.8S ribosomal RNA (bases 1-71)
Source: RNAcentral